Molecule: ribosomal RNA, 207 nt
Filed under: uncultured bacterium
Lineage: Bacteria
Description: partial 16S ribosomal RNA
Rfam family: Bacterial small subunit ribosomal RNA
Source: RNAcentral
AGCGUAGACGGAUGGACAAGUCUGAUGAGAAAGGCUGGGGCUCAACCCCGGGACUGCAUUGGAAACUGCCCGUCUUGAGUGCCGGAGAGGUAAGCGGAAUUCCUAGUGUAGCGGUGAAAUGCGUAGAUAUUAGGAGGAACACCAGUGGCGAAGGCGGCUUACUGGACGGUAACUGACGUUGAGGCUCGAAAGCGUGGGGAGCAAACA